RNAcentral lists this long non-coding RNA (281 nucleotides) under Mytilus galloprovincialis (Mediterranean mussel). The record is from RNAcentral. Lineage: Eukaryota; Metazoa; Mollusca; Bivalvia; Mytilida; Mytilidae.
CAGUUUUAGAGUUGAACAAGAACACAAUUACUGGAGAUAACCUUAUUAAAAAGAUGAAUUUGUUGACAGAGGAUUAAGUGAGAAAUGGUACGUACCGUACAGAGACGCAUUAAACACAGGCUAGUGAUAAAUGGUACCGUAAAGAGACACAUUAAACACAGGCUGGUGUUAAAUGGUACCGUAUAGAGACACAUUAAACACAGACUGAUGUUAAAUGGUGUCGUAUAGAGACACAUUAAGCACACGCUGGCUUUAAAUGGUACUGUAUAGAGACACAUUAA